Non-coding RNA from Parasteatoda tepidariorum (common house spider), 218 nucleotides. NCBI's taxonomy places the organism in Eukaryota, Metazoa, Arthropoda, Arachnida, Araneae, Theridiidae. The record is from RefSeq and is a predicted model, not a curated record.
GGAGAAAAAGGACAAAAAGGAGAACCUGGCGAUUUUGGAAUUGAUGGGAGAGAAGGCUAUAAGGGUCCAAAAGGAGAACAUGGUAUUUCAGGAUUUCCUGGUUCUCAAGGUCCACCUGGACCACCAGGGAUAAUAAUUGACACUGGUGAGGUUAUUCCUGGUCCGCGAGGAAAGCAAGGCGUUCCUGGUGAUAGAGGCUUACCAGGGGUUUCAGGUAA